CCCAGGGGCUGAGUAGCAGUUGAGCCAGGGUAGGCAGCAGGUGAGGCAGGAAACUGGUAAUCUGGAGGUGCCAGAGAUUUUUCCUCUGUAGUAAAAAGGUACAGAGGAGGGAGCUGUAGGAAGAGCUCCCCUUCUCCAGAGCUGAAGUUCGGCAGCUGCAGCCCCAUGUGAUCGGACAUCAAAGAUGUGACAGGUCUUUUACUGGCGUCUUUGCAUCUGUCAUCUGAUUUAUCCACUGAAGUGUGUUUCUGCAGAAUGAGGCCCUGUAUAAGGAUAGUAUAAAAAAGGUAUGCAAUACUGCUGGACUUCAUGUAUCUAUUCUGGCUGACUGACACACUUUGGAGAGGCCUGUGAGCAUGAUUUCCUCAAGUGCUGGGACAGCUGGACACUCUGAUGGUGGGGAAAAGAAAAAAAGAAAAAAAAAAGGAAAAAAGAAAAAAAAAAGGAAAAAAAAACCUUUUAUUGCUUACUUUCCAACAAGGAAAAACUUCAAGGAACAGACACGAGUUUCUCCCCUUUGCCACCAGAUGUCCCUCCUGAGCAGGGAAAUCUGCUGGUCUGAAAGCUGCCCAGGCGCUGGAUCCACAACGUUUCUGAAGACGAGAGAGGGAAAGGAAAGUUUGAGUGAAAGCAACAGUUAGUGCAGGGUUUUGGAUGGAUGAAGUGCUGAGAUGUCUCCUUGGCAAGAGAAACAUUUUGCCGGUAGCACUGUAACGUAUGUUUAAUUAACUCCUAAAAUGUGUCAUAACUUGCAGCAUAAUAUACGGCUAUCCUCCAGAGAGCUAGGUAUGCACUUCUCUUCUGAAGUGGGAACAUCCUUGGCAGAAAUGAUGGUAGCAAUCCUUGGCACUUUCAGAUGGAUGUCUGAAAUCCAUAGCUGCAAAUGACCACUGUAAGAAGACUUAAUUCUUUCCUCCCUAAGUUGCUGAGUGCUGCAGUGACUUUUCCAGGUCUGGUAACGUUAGCUGAAACCCAAAGUGCAGCAUUCAUGUCUACACGUGAGAGGCAUUUCCAGGGAUUAGGAAUCUACAUCUCUGGGAAGCACUGCUGAAGAAAAGCCAAAGACUCAACAAAAAGGGCAAUGACUUAUGAAGGAGUGUGGUUAGCUUCCUAGCACCGCACAGGAACUUACCAAGAAGAUAAUUUGAUGGGGAAGUGCUUUAAGGCUCACUGUGUGCUCACGGCCCCAGACUGCAUCGAGCUCAGGUGCCCAAACACUGUUAUUACAGCCAACUGUUAUUACAGCUGCUAUUUACUGCAGAAACACACAUGCAAGUGGAAAUGCUCAAAGUGUUUUUCUUUCGGAGGGAAAAACAUACAGGUGAUGCACGUUUGCUACUUAGCAGAAACGUGUGACAUCUGCCCUGGAGUGUAAAGUCAUCUGCCUGACUUUAAGGGGAGCUGGGGACAGGUUAUACUGGAGGGCUUGCUCUUCAGAGAUAGACAUACAAUGUGGUAUGUUCCUCUGUAGCUGUCAAAACAGGAAGCAGUGGCUCUGAAGCUUUGCUGGAGAAAGCAAUGUAAGCUACACCCGAGCAGUCGUGGCAAGUGGGAAGUGAAUGGCACAGAAGUGGCUCCUCGCUUCCCUGACCACCCUGGGGUUGAAGUACCUGCAUGGGAAAUCUCCUUGUGACCUCAUGCUGACACCAGAGCUCCUCCACUUCUUCCCUGUCCUCUGAAUGCCCCUCACAAAGCAGACAGAGAAAAGGCCUCCUUGGUGGGCUUAGGAGUGGCGUGGGAAAGCGUGUGCACUGAGUCCUCCUUUGGGGAGACCUUAAAAGAUGAGGUUUUUUUCCUUCCCCCAAAAGCUUUUAAGUAACAGCAUUAUGGUGUUCCUUGACUGGUGGAGUUAAAACACCCAUGCAUAACCUAACUUGCACACGAGCAAAUGCUCAGUGCAACCUCUGCUUGUGAAAAUAACAUCUUCUGUCUUGAACAUUCUCAGAUGUGUCUCUGGGAAACGGAAUACGAGCUUAUUGCCAGAUUCUGAUUCUAAUAAAGCUAAUGGAAGCGUUGCCAGUGACUUCAAAUGGUCCAGAUACUACUCUCAGGGCCAACUCCCAUGAAAUUCUCCCAGUUCAAACCCCCGAGCGCUUCCACUGAUUUCUGAGGGGCUACCCUGGCUUUACUCAUCCACCCCAAGCAAGACCCACGAAGUCAGAGACACGUGGAAGAGCUGUCUCUUGGUAUCCCAACGGCAACUAAAGAGAGGUGGUUUCCCCCACUCCAUUUUAUGAAGGAGCUGAAAUCAGAGCUGUGAUCUACCAGCUUUGCUGUCAGAACGGGUAGAUGCUCUUUUACAGCAGCGUCACCUUUUUCACCGUGCACCUGUGCAGAUCGGCACUUUGUUGACCAAGGCAGGAGGGGGUUACCUGCGCUUAGGAUGUACCAAGGGGCUGCGAUAGGUUGUGUCUGCUGUUCUAGGAAAAGGUGACAGCGAACAGCUCAUCUGUGUCCUCGUAACGAACGCUCCACCCUCCCUAAAGGUAGCAGAAGAGAGAUGCGACGGCUCUAACGGCCCGAACCCCGUAUUUCAUCUACAAAGCCCGCACCGCAGACCAGAGGCGGAGAACCUCCGGCAGCUCGCGGGGCCGCCGCUCCGCAACCUGCUGCUGCCGGCACGGAGCUGCGCCCACCGCUCCGCCCCGGGGCAGCGCUACCUGCGCC
Long non-coding RNA from Gallus gallus (chicken), 2667 nucleotides. Lineage: Eukaryota; Metazoa; Chordata; Aves; Galliformes; Phasianidae. The record is from Ensembl.